AAAAAAACCUGAAAAUACAUCUUGUAGAGGCUGAAGCCCUGGAAACUGAAAGGAUUUUCUCAUUCCUUGGGUCCAGCAGCAACAGCAUUUUGAAAUCAGGCUAAACUUCAGAUGCAUCUUGACCAACUGGAAAGGAGGUUUCCAGCUGUUUGCUGCUCUGGAGGGAGUGAAGGAGAAGAUCUAAAGCAAAGAAGAUUCAGAACCAGAAGCAAUUCUGAAAGUCUAUGGCCUUGAUAUCCAUAGACUUCCAUCUCAUGUCGGCAUUCCUGUUAUCAAGACACUCCCUCUGAAGCUAUGGAGUUGCAGAGCUGUUUGCAGGUGGUCCAGCUGACUCUUAUAUGAGGCAAUGACCUUCUCUGCACUGUAACAUACUGGUGCUGGACCCGGCUGUAUGUGAAUUCCUCGCAGACUAGGAGAGUUAGGAGGAGCACUGACUACGUGGUACCCAGCAGCUAGCAAAUUGCAUACCUGCUCUACGUGGGAACCCAGCAGAGCAGGAUGGCCCAGGGCCUCAGCAGAGAGCUUCCUGGGAUCUCGGCCAUAUGGCACACUGCACUGGUUACGCGUGAAGAGGUUCACUUGAGGCUUUCCUAUACAUGUGGUUAACAAGACAGUCUACUUCUUCAGCAGGUUUCAAUUAGUGUGGCUGCUCUGUGGGCGGCACUGGCUCAGUCUGGCAGCUUUGCCAAUGGUCUCAUUGGCUUCUCUUACUUUUGCCUGCAUGACUCUGGGUCUUCAGCUGCUGAUAGAAGAAACGUCUUUUCUGACUGCACUGCAAGGGGCUCUGGAGACACCUGAGCUGUAGGUAGUGUACAGCUGGCACAUCUGAAUGUAAUGCCAGUCAGCGAGCUGGGAGAAAGGACUGCUAUCAUCUUGGGUGUCCACAGGGGAGGAAAGGGUGAGUGCUCUGAAACUCUUCCUAUUCCAGCUGUGUCUUUUCCCCUCCACGGAGCCUGAGCCUCCAGGAGGCUCCUGCCCUGAGCAAAGUGGCUGGGGAUGAGGGUAAAGGGCUGCUGUAAUGGGGAAGUCCAAGGGCUACCAUAGAACCUUCUGCCCCCCCCUCCCCCCAAGAGCCAUGUCCUGCUGCAGCGGGACUUGAGCAGCCAUGAGGAGAGGAGGAACUGAAGGUCUGAUCUGGGUGCUCUGACUCACUACUCAGCUGAGCAGGAAGCAUGAGGGGACUCAACUGGUGUGAUCAGGAAAACAGCAGGAGCUGGGUUUUUGAGAAGGAACUGGAACAGAGAAACCUUUGUGCUUCCUGCAGGCAUGUGGUAGGGAGAAGGGACGGUUUUAGACCUGUUUUAUUGUGGUGAAAAUUGAGAGGGUCGUGCCGCCAUGCUUGGCGCUAGCUGUGUAGGUAGCUGUCGUGGUGGUGGAGGGGAGGUCAGUGUGUGGGGUGACACUUGUUGCUCUUUGUCACACUGCUGGCAUUCUGUGAUAGGUUCCAAAAGCAUUCGGAAAUCCCAAACAGAGUCAGAAAUUAAAAACGGGUGGUGGUUUGUGGUUCAUAUGACAGAAGGCAUAAACCAGCAGGGAAGUGUGUACAGGUGACAUUGAGCCACUGGCUGUAGUUUUAAAUGCUGAAAUAAGCGAUGCUGGUUGUUUCACGAAGCCAAGUUCCUCAUCCAGCUAUUACAGAGCUGACAUUUGGGAAAUCAGAUGCACGUGUAGCCCUUACGGACAGACUCUGCUUUGCAUGAGCUUUGCUGAGAUUUGCACCGCCAGGCAUCUCACUUCUGUUUGUCACUGUGAUUGCCUUCUUGGCAAUGCAUCGUGCCAUUUACUGCCCCUCAUGUCCUUAACUGGAAUUAGCUGCCACCCCCUCUCCCAAUGGCUCAAUCACAGCUCUUCAGCAGCUCAGCUCCUUGUUUCCCUCUGCUGCCAGCCUACUCUGCAAUCACCUUUGCAGUAAGAACGGUUUUGCAUUGGUGUCCCUGUCUCCCUCCCAAAGAGCUGCCUAGCCCUGUCCCCUCAGCCAUGGAAAAACUAUUUUCAAACACAAGAGCAAAGAGGAAGACUUUCAGCAGCUGUAAAGCUCUACUUUUCCUGGGAGGUGCUCUGUCACUGCCAGCUGCCAGGGAUGUCUCAGUGAUUUUUGCUGAUGAUGGGAGAAUUGCAUUUGAACUAAAGAGGCAAAGGGAUUAUCUUUAAGCUAACACACUGAAUGAGUACUGCCCUCAUUUUUGCUGCACUGAGGCCCCUCAUGAUCACAAACAGCUCCUUUCCCCUCUGUAGCACUUGUACAGAGGGGAACUGACCGCAUUUAACAGGCCAACGUAGUCUGAAGUGGGGUUUGCAUGAGAGCUACAAUGCCUAAUCCCAGCCUGGCAAAUAUAUACUGUUUGAUGUGCUUUGGGCAGUCUUUUGCAGGUGAGCAUGGCAAUGAACAGCGAGAGCAUCUGUAAGUAUGUGUGCUACUGCCCUUUGUGUUGAGAUGGUGCCACGAGGCCAGGCAGCUGACCUGCCUCCCGCAGACCAGAGAGUGCUGACACCACACAUGGUGUCCUGGCAAACAUUUGGGUUAGAAAUGUCUGUAUUAGCUGGCCAUGUGGAAGGGAGAUGUAUUGCUGCUGUGCAACUGAGGGCAAAGAGACAGCCCCCAGCACUCAUGCAGCUCAGGAUCUGCCUGCAGCACAGCUCAGCACUGUGCUGUCAGGGGGCAGAGCUGAAGGCCCUGUCAGCCUCACGGCAACACAGGCAGCUCAACCCCAAGUGGAGCAGGUGGGACAGAAGGUCCCCACCGCAGCCAUCGAUGUGCCCAACCAAACCCUACUUCCCUGUGCCAGACACUCAAUGUCAAAUCUCUCUUCGAGAGACCGCAGCAGAAAAUCUGAGAAGCAGGAAAGCAUCAUCUGUGCCAGCUGCAGGAGGAUUAGGAGACCUGCCCAGUGUGUGAGUGAAGCCAAUAGCAGAGUGAGAAGCAAAUGCAUGAUGAGUGACUCAGGCUCCAGGCUGGCCCAGCCCAAGGGGUGUGAACCUGCAUCACCUCUUGAGCAGCUCCAUCCCACCCAGGGACCUCUCGCCAUCGUCCCAUCAGGACUGAUGUGCUGCCAGAAACCAGAAAUAGUAUCCUGAAGAAGAAAAAAAAAAAGUGUGGGGGGAGGGGGACGUUUGUGCUGUAUCAAUGUGUUCUGGUUUGGGUUUUUCAAAACAAAAUGCUUCUGGCCUUUGCUUGGAAAAGGAUUUUCAGCUGUAUUUGUGUGCAAAAGCGCUGAUUAUGUGUUACAAUGGAAGGAGUCGAAAUCAAAAGGAAAGGAAAUAGAACGCUGAGAGACAACGGCCUGGAGAAAAACCAACCCCAGACAGCUGGGAAAUCCCAGCUCUUUGUCUGCAGAUAGAUCUGAAAAGACCAAGGGGUUUUUCCUUUGAUUCUCAGGUUUGCCCUGAAUCCAAAUGAAAGCUAAUACUGGUAUAGCUGACUUCUGCGAAGAGAAAACAUCCAUUUUUGAUUCUCUUUCCAUAUUCCCCCCCCCCCAUGCUCUGCCUGCACAUGAUGCAGCCAAACAGGAAUUGGAGAGAGACGAAGAAAAUUUUCAUAAACACAGAAAAUAAAUUGCACACAAACAUCAAA
RNAcentral lists this long non-coding RNA (3571 nucleotides) under Gallus gallus (chicken). RNAcentral's name for it is "long non-coding RNA NONGGAT008122". Lineage: Eukaryota; Metazoa; Chordata; Aves; Galliformes; Phasianidae. The record is from RNAcentral.